This 869-nucleotide ribosomal RNA is filed under the name Talaromyces rugulosus. RNAcentral describes it as "SSU rRNA". It matches the Rfam family "Eukaryotic small subunit ribosomal RNA", at positions 69 to 947 of the family's 1831-position model. The record is from RNAcentral. Lineage: Eukaryota; Fungi; Ascomycota; Eurotiomycetes; Eurotiales; Trichocomaceae.
GCACUUUGUACUGUGGAACUGCGAAUGGCUCAUUAAAUCAGUUAUCGUUUAUUUGAUAGUACCCUACUACAUGGAUACCUGUGGUAAUUCUAGAGCUAAUACAUGCGCAAAACCUCGACUUCGGAAGGGGUGUAUUUAUUAGAUAAAAAACCAAUGCCCUUCGGGGCUCCUUGGUGAUUCAUAAUAACUUAACGAAUCGCAUGGCCUUGCGCCGGCGAUGGUUCAUUCAAAUUUCUGCCCUAUCAACUUUCGAUGGUAGGAUAGUGGCCUACCAUGGUGGCAACGGGUAACGGGGAAUUAGGGUUCGAUUCCGGAGAGGGAGCCUGAGAAACGGCUACCACAUCCAAGGAAGGCAGCAGGCGCGCAAAUUACCCAAUCCCGAUCCGGGGAGGUAGUGACAAUAAAUACUGAUAUAGGGCUCUUUUGGGUCUUAUAAUUGGAAUGAGUACAAUCUAAAUCCCUUAACGAGGAACAAUUGGAGGGCAAGUCUGGUGCCAGCAGCCGCGGUAAUUCCAGCUCCAAUAGCGUAUAUUAAAGUUGUUGCAGUUAAAAAGCUCGUAGUUGAACCUUGGGCCCGUCCUGCCGGUCCGCCUCACCGCGAGUACUGGUCCGGAUGGGCCUUUCUUUCUGGGGAAUCCCAUGGCCUUCACUGGCUGUGGCGGGGAACCAGGACUUUUACUGUGAAAAAAUUAGAGUGUUCAAAGCAGGCCUUUGCUCGGAUACAUUAGCAUGGAAUAAUAAAAUAGGACGUGCGGUUCUAUUUUGUUGGUUUCUAGGACCGCCGUAAUGAUUAAUAGGGAUAGUCGGGGGCGUCAGUAUUCAGCUGUCAGAGGUGAAAUUCUUGGAUUUGCUGAAGACUAACUACUGCG